AUCGCUUCUCGGCCUUUUGGCUAAGAUCAAGUGUAGUACCUUUUGGAACCACUUGGUCUUCUGGCUGGCAAGACCAAAGAGGAGUAUCUGUUCUAAUGAUCCUAUCUGAAGAACAGAGAAACCAUU
This 126-nucleotide small nuclear RNA is filed under the name Xenopus laevis (African clawed frog). RNAcentral describes it as "U2 spliceosomal RNA". It matches the Rfam family "U2 spliceosomal RNA". From Rfam's summary of the family: U2 is a small nuclear RNA (snRNA) component of the spliceosome (involved in pre-mRNA splicing). Complementary binding between U2 snRNA (in an area lying towards the 5' end but 3' to hairpin I) and the branchpoint sequence (BPS) of the intron results the bulging out of an unpaired adenosine, on the BPS, which initiates a nucleophilic attack at the intronic 5' splice site, thus starting the first of two transesterification reactions that mediate splicing. Lineage: Eukaryota; Metazoa; Chordata; Amphibia; Anura; Pipidae. The record is from Rfam by way of RNAcentral.